CGGCCUUCCUUCCCCGUUUUGGCCGCCGGAUCUGCUCCGACCAGCCAAGGGCAGAAACCCACGAAAUGGGUUUCCAGCUGGUUCGGGCCCGUUUUGGGCCGUUUCCCGGCCCCGGAUCCGCGAGUCGCUUUGGGAAGUUUUGUUCCUCGCGUCGCCCCCGUCGGAUUGAUCCGAUUUGCGCGCGAUUUGGUGAGUAAUCUCUCUAAUCCAUGAUUAGUUGGCUAAUUAUGCUUAAGGUUGGUUUAGAUUUAAUUAAUUAUGUUUAGGUUGUUAGAUUAGAAUAAAUUAGCAAUUAUUAGCCAAUUGUGAUCCGAAUUAGAUAAAUUGAAUGUGCAAUUAGCAAGUAGACGUGGUCUACUAAUUAUUGGAAGUGCCUCGGGAUUUUUCCCGACCCUUUGUGGGCUUCAAUUAGGCUUUUCAGGCCUAAGUGGAUUUUUUAGUAUUUAAUUAUUAAUUUUCGGAAUUAAAUUAAAUAAUUAUUUAUUUUCCGAAAAUUCAACUGAGAUGGCUCAGGACCGGAAUAUUGUGCUGAUGACCGUGGUGAAGUCCGUUUAUUUAAUCGGGCUUUAUUUUGAGCUAAAUUGAAUUUUUAAUAUUAAUUAUUUAAUUUUCGAAAUUAAUAAAUUAAUUAAUUAUUUUUCGGAAAUUAAGAUUUUGAUGGCCGACGACCGAAAUCUCAUGCUGAUUGUCGUGGCGCAGUCCGUUUAUUUAUUUGAGCUCCACGUUGCGUGGAAUUAAAUAAAUUGUGAUAUUUUGGGGAUUUACCCUAAAUUGAUUGGAAUUGAUUGAGAUUGAAUUAUUGAUUGGUAAAUGGCCAAGUAUGUUUAUUCAGCAUUUGCAAUGCUUUGUUGAGUUGUAAAGUGAGUAGAAUUGUGAGAGUGAUUUGAAUAUACUCUUGGCUAAGAUCCAUCAGGUAUGUUAAUAUCGUGUGAAGAUUGAGUGAGUUGAUGAGUAUGUGGGGAUUCAUCCCAAGAUUUGUCAAUGUCGGUAUUCAAUUAGAAUUUGACUAUGAGAGGUUGUGAGUUGAACCUCGGAAGCCGCCGAAGUAUGGCUAUGCCAGUUGGGCCGAGAUUUGCCACCGAAUUUGGAGUCGGUCGCGCCUGAUAAGGCCGUAAUCUGCCACCUAUUAAAGGUCGCGCCUGUUGGGCCGUAAAUUGCCACCUAUUAAAGGUCGCGCCUGUUAAGGCCGUAAUUUGCCACCCGAUAAGGGUCGUGCCUGAUAAGCCGUAAUUUGCCACCAUUAAAGGUCGCGCCCAUUGGGCCGUAAUUUGCUACCUAAAGAUAGGUCGUGUCCUUCGGGACUGUAAUUUGUUGCCAAGAAAUUUGGUAGACUAUGCUUGUGAAGUCAUGAGUACGAUUUGAAACUGAAUAAGGGAAACGACUGGGGAAUGGUCGAAUUGACAUGAAAUCGACUAGGUCGAUGGAUCGAGAUAUUAAUCUGUGAUGUAAUUGCUUGGGUGCCUAUUGAACUGUGCUAAUAUGCAGGUGGAGUCUGAGGCCAAGGUAAGUCCUCUGCCCUGUGCGUGUUUAGGCAGCCUAUAGUAUAAUGGUUUACUAAUCGGGCUAAGUGGGGUAGAACUCGCUGAGACGUAGUCUCAUCCCGGUUUGGGGAAAAAACAUUUCAGGACCCCGCUGAGGAGCUGAGGAGGAGUCUGAGAAGGAGAACUCGGGGGUGAAACUUAAGGAGAAAGAUUUUUGGGAGAAGAAGAUAAUCCCGAGAAGGGCCUUGAGUACGGCCCGGAUGACUGAGAGUUUAUCUUAUUUUGAGAUCUCCUUUUUGAUGUGAUUAAAGUUUAGAGUAAAAAGUUGUAGAGUGCUCUGGUUUGUGUUUUGUAUAAAAGUUUGGUUAUAAAUUUCAAUAUGAAAAAUAUGGCCCUGCUUUUCUAUCCCAUCGUUUUAUUGUCUG
This 1906-nucleotide long non-coding RNA is filed under the name Eucalyptus grandis. RNAcentral's name for it is "long non-coding RNA (EGRA_LNC006801)". The record is from RNAcentral. Lineage: Eukaryota; Viridiplantae; Streptophyta; Magnoliopsida; Myrtales; Myrtaceae.